Long non-coding RNA from Daphnia magna, 943 nucleotides. RefSeq lists it as uncharacterized. Lineage: Eukaryota; Metazoa; Arthropoda; Branchiopoda; Diplostraca; Daphniidae. The record is from RefSeq and is a predicted model, not a curated record. The transcript has 4 exons.
CAAGUUGUUUAUUAGUUUUUAGUUUUUUCUUUUUCUUUUCUUCUUCUUCUUUUCAUGAUGACCGGUAAAACUAGAAAUAGUAAAUUACUUAAUAAAGUAGCAAACGUUGACAAAACUUCAACACAAAGAACGCGUAAACAAAAACUAAUUAAAAUGAUGGAAUUAAUGGUUAAGGAACACUAUGCCAGCUUUAUCAUUUUCAUGCAUUUUCCCAACAAUCAUGAAAGUGCGAUUAACGUACAAAAGUUAGGUGACUUUGCCAUUGCAGUUUAAAAAAAACCCUGCAUGAAACUUGCACGGGAUGAGUUUAAGGCAGCAGCAGUCCAGUUCCAAUUGAAUAGAAAAUCUGGCACAGACAAAGAAGAGGAAAUUUCCGUUCUCAGACACCACACUUCUAAUGUUCCAGAUCCCUAAAUCAACAUGGACUCUGUUGUUGCCACAGGCUCAGUGCAAUCUCAUCAAACUCCUGUGGUAGUUUCAGAAAACCCUGCUUCUACUGCUAAUACAACCAGGCCUCAUGCAACUGUUGUGGCUGUUUUAGGUGGCUGUUCUCCUAGCUCAGCUCCACCUCGUCAUUCUGGUGUAUCUGUUCCAGAUCUCUCAAUUCCAGGCUCAAUUCAACAUCAUUCAACUGAGGGUGUUACUAAACUAUGGAAUUGGAACUUCCAAAAUGGAAGUAUAAAAUCUGGAAUUCGACCGAAAACUAUGGAAUACGCUAGGUGGCGCUGGCUGUCCGAAAGUCUGGAAAUCAGAACCUAAACUCUGGAAGAUCAACCGAAAACUAUGGAAUACGUUACGGGAGUAGGUGGCGCUACAAAUCCUGAAAUCCCGGAACAACAUAUCCUAAAGUAUGGAAGUAGAGUCGGGAAAAUAUGGAAAUUAAAAAUUAAACUACAAAUACAAAGAAGUGAAAAACGAUAUAAAUUCUUGACUGUUUAUUGUU